UAGAGUUUGAUCCUGGCUCAGAACGAACGCUGGCGGCAGGCUUAACACAUGCAAGUCGAACGCAUCCUUCGGGGUGAGUGGCAGACAGGUGAGUAACGCGUGGGAACGUGCCCUUCAGUUCGGGAUAACCCAGGGAAACUUGGGCUAAUACCGGAUACGUGCGAGAGCAGAAAGAUUGAUCGCUGAAGGAUCGGCCCGCGUCUGAUUAGCUAGUUGGUGAGGUAAUGGCUCACCAAGGCGACGAUCAGUAGCUGGUCUGAGAGGAUGAUCAGCCACAUUGGGACUGAGACACGGCCCAAACUCCUACGGGACGGCAGCA
Molecule: ribosomal RNA, 319 nt
Filed under: uncultured Chelatococcus sp. FR046
Lineage: Bacteria; Pseudomonadati; Pseudomonadota; Alphaproteobacteria; Hyphomicrobiales; Chelatococcaceae
Description: bacterial SSU rRNA
Rfam family: Bacterial small subunit ribosomal RNA
Source: RNAcentral